RNAcentral lists this long non-coding RNA (4008 nucleotides) under Capsicum annuum. RNAcentral's name for it is "long non-coding RNA (CANN_LNC013510)". The record is from RNAcentral. Lineage: Eukaryota; Viridiplantae; Streptophyta; Magnoliopsida; Solanales; Solanaceae.
CUCAACGGCUUUGAACCGAUCUUUGAUUUCCUCCAGUUCCUUCAUCACAGCAAUAGAGGGGUUAGACUUACUUACCUUUGGGAGUUCAUAUUUUGCACGGGCAGAAUCGUUCUUGUACCAUUCAUCUUCAACCAAAACAUAGCCCAUACUGACAAAAGUUUUGGAGUCAUAAGUAGCCACAACUUCCACUAAAGGGUAAGUAGAGAGAUCAAUUGUGUAAUACAGAAGAAUCCAAGUAAUGAGCAGGCCAUACGGUAAACUGGCGAAAGCAUGAACAUCUGUUGCACUCUCAAGCAUGUACUCAUGAAUCCAAGUUGCACAAUUUAUUUUGGUCUUCUUAACCAGACAGUAUAGCACAAAAAAUCAUGAUAAGUGAUGUUUCUUAGAGAUCUUUUUCGGUGAAUCAGAGUGGUGGAAACAAUAUAAGCCAUAAUGUGAUAUUUGAAUCAGAGAGACAGGGACCAAAGCUAGAUGGUACAGAUUCAGAAUUAGACAAAAACUUUUUGGGUUCCUCUAAGCGCACUUUAAAGUCCUCAAGCCAGUUAUUAUUCAUAAAGGCACUACACCGGAGAAUUUAGUAUCAAAAACUUUCUUGAAUAGAAAGUUGUUCAAGAAAAUUCUUGUGUUGAGCACAAGAGUCUCAAACUCCCCACUAUCUGGGAAAAUUCUGAAAUUGGUGUAGAACAUGUUCAAAUGGACUUUGAAUUUUUUAUUCUUAGUACUCUAUUCUAUUUCUUUAUAUUUUUUGUUUGACCCACGGUUCAGUCCAGUCCAUAUUACUCAAACCCACGGACCAACGGGAUUAUACGGGCCGAGCUAAAAAGUCUUGUUCUCAAACGAGUUGUAAAAGUCUUAGCCCAUCCCUAUAAAAUUACAGGUUGGAUUGGGUCUGACCUAUAUUGACGGCUCUAGUUAAAAGAAUGAAUUCUAGGUUUUACUUAAUUCGUUCUAAGUACUUACAUGAUUACUCUUUCUUAACAUUUUCAUAUAUUAGCAACAUGUAGUUUGAAGUUCACAUAAAAAUUGGAUUGUGACUUUGUAUCUUCCAUAAAAUAGUCAAGUUAUGACCUGUUUUUAAUUGAGUUUUAAAAUGAAUUGUAAUAAGUUAGAAUGAAAUUAAUAGAAAUUAAUAAACAGAAAGAUCAUUAAUAGAAAUUAUUGCAAAGUACAUAUAAUAUGUACCAUUAUUGAAACAAAAUAACAAAAAUGGAAGAUGAAAGCAUACUUAAAUAGAGUGAAUCUAUAUAUAUACUCACUUCAUUAUAUAGAACUUCGAUAAAUAAUAUUAUACGAAGAUAGUUUAUUUAAUUCAUUUAAGAAGCAGUAAACUAGAUAUCUGCAUCUUUUGAUGGAGAUUGUGAGGAGGACGAAGCUUCAGCUAAUUGAUCCUUCAACAAAAUUUCUCCACUAUCCAACCAAGCUUGAAACUUCAUUACAUCAUCUGCAUUUAAAUGAUCAAUGGACUCCCAUCGACCUUUAUCUCUAGUCUUAUUCCUUUGGGAUAAGAAAAGGAAUUUAUCUUUUGCAACUUCUUCUCUUUCAUCAAGUUCAUUUAGCCUAUCAUUAAUUGAUUCACUUUGUGAAUUUUCAUCAACAAUUUGUUCACCUAAAUCUGUUUUCAAAUUCAUAAAACGAUCAAUGAUUGCAUUUUGUGUUGGGUGGACAAAAUCAACUGGUGAAGAUAGAAAGAUUCCAAGAUCUACAUCAUUUUCUCUAACGAGUUUGCUAGCUUUUUUAUAUAAGCCGGAACGUCGUUUAGAGAAUGUGGAAUAUCGAUUAGCAUUUUUUUCUAUCCUCACCAAUGGAAUUUUUCAGCGUCCUAUUGUUUUCUUACGCUCCAUGAAGAAAUAUGACUUACAAAAAAAAAUGAAUUAUGAUGAAUAUUUAUAUACAUAUUAUUCAUAAUGAUCAUUAAAUUUCUAUCCAAAUAUCACAAUGGAAAGUAAUCUUUUCUUCUUGAAAAUUAUAGUAGAAAAUUUUUAUUCAACUUGAUACUCAUAAUCUGAGUUUUAUAGUAACAUCAAUGUGAAAUUCAAGGGGGAUGAAUAAAAAAUUUGUGAGUCGACUAUUGACUCCUCACAGUCGACAUACCUACCGAUCAGUAUACUUCACAAAAUAGAUUAGAAUUAAAACAAAUAGACAAGUAAAUAAUUAACUUUAAACAGAAGAUACGAAGAUUUAUCCCAGUUUGGAAAACCAAUGUGCUUUCUACUUCCAGUCCCAUUGGGUUUCAAUAUUUUUUUAGAUCUUUCAAUGUUGGGCUCGAGUACAAUGAUGAGAAACAAGUUCCGAAGACUUAAUUUGUUCUUCGGAUCUUGUGACAUAACUUCAGCUUGUAUUAGAAAGUUGACUCGAUCCUAUUCUUUAUACAACUAUUGUAAACUAAGGAUUACAAAGCUUUGUGAGACUAAGAUUGAGGCACUUUGAGAUUUCUCCUUGAAGUUGUGUAUCUUCUUUCUUCCAUUUUGGCCUUUUUAGUCUUCUGUUGUAUAUGCUUCUUUUCUUCAUAAGAAAACCCAAGAGAUUUCUUCUCAAUCAAGGAAUUAAGUUGAUUUCUUGAUUGAGGGAAUUUGCACUUUUUGGUAUGUCCAUAUCAGAUAUGUCCAUACUUGGUGCGAUUUUUCUUUCUCACAUAUGUACAUGUCCAUAUCAGAUAUGUCUAUGUAGGAGGUGAGAUCUUCUUUCUCCUUUUUUUAUUGCCGUGAGGUGCAUUCAAUUGCCUUGUUCACUGAGAUCUUUAGUUGAUAUGAUUUUUGUUGCCUUGUCAAAUGAUAUCCUACUUUGGUGUGGCUCCAAAUUUAACACGAUCUUCUUUGAGAUAUAAUCUCCCAUUAUUUGAGUUCUUCAAUGUCUUUUGUGUGAGAUCUCCUUCCAUCAUUAGGUAUCUUUAAUAUCCUGCAAAUUUCACUUAUUAGUUUAUCAUUAUUAAAACAUAAAACAUAAAUAUCGGAGGCUAACAAUCUCUCCCUUUUUUAUAAUGACAAAUAAUCAUUUAAAAAUCAGUUGACUUCCCUGUUAUAGUAGUAGACUUGCUCCUUUGACUCUUAUCCAUUGAUAGUCGACUUGCUCCCCUUGAAUUUAAGCAUUGAUAGUCGACUUGCCCCCCCUGACUUUAAGCCCAUUUGAUGUUCCUAUUUUUCUCCCUCUUUUGGCAUAAUUAAAAAAAAUACAUGAAAUCAUACAUCCAAAAAGAAUAUGCACAUAGCAACGAAAUUAACAGAUUAAUUACCAAGAACUCAGGCAAAAACAAGGAAGUGUGGUAGAAAUUAUUUGUAGAAAACAUCUUACAACCCAACAAAAAUAAGGGACAGGACCCCCUUUUGAUUAAACAGUCAUUAUUCACUGCUUAGCUAGAAAAUAUGUUAGGUUAUUAUGCAUGUUAUAGCAUAAUUUGUCAUUGAAUUUCUCAACAUUUUUAAAGAACAAGGAAAAGGAGUUCUAAACAGAAACAACAAGAUUGUCAUUAGAGGAGGUGACUUGGGACUUGAGGGAGUCCAUGCGAGUGAACACUCGAGUAAACAACUUGAUGCCUUCCUGUUUCAACCCAUCGAGUGCCAGCCAAACCACACUCAUGUCAGUGCUGGUGCUUGUUCCAAGGUCCAUAAGUUUGGAAGUCGACUCCUGGAGCAGCAUAAUACCUUCCUCAACGGCUUUGAACCGAUCUUUGAUUUCCUCCAUUUGCUUUAUCACAACAAUAGAGGGGUUAGAAAUAAACUUACUUACUUUUGGGAGUUCAAAUUUUGUGCGGGCAGAAUCCUUCUUGCACCAUUCAUCUUCAACCAAAACAUAGCCCAUACUGGCAAAAUUUUUAGAGUCAAUAAGUAGCCACAACUUUCACUGAAGGGUAAGCAUAGAGAUUAAUUGAGUAAUACAAAAGAAUCCAAGUAAUGAGUUGGCCAUACGGUAAAUUGGCGAAAGCAUAAACAAUUAUUGCACUCUCAAGCAUGUACUCAUGAAUCCAGGUUGCCCAAUUGAUUUUGAGUUUCUUAAUCAGACAAUACAACACAA